UUAAAGCCCCACCCCUUGGGUGAAACUGUAGGUCUUUUUAUUUUUACCUCAGUUUGGUUCAUGGUAUGUUUUUUAUUUUAAGAGAAUGCAAUUUUUUUGUUGUUGUUGUUUGUUUUUUCCAGAAAAUGUCCCCUCACAGCAAUGAUUGCCAACGCCGAGGCACCUAGCACAGUGUCUUGCUCAGUGGGUACUCAGUAUAUAUGGAACUGGGUUGAUUAAGGCACAAAACCAACAGCAAGAUUGAUGACAUAUCAGAUCCAUUUAGAGUGGAAAAAAUAUGUUGGCCAUUUAAAAAUAGUCAUUGGAAGGCCUAUGCACCUAAGAGAACCUCAUGUAUCUUCUGCUACUGAAGUCUAAUAUUACUAAAUUCAAAAAGGCUUUAAUGCAUUAUGACAAAGCAUAUGAAGAAAGCCUUAAGGUGAAGAAAGCCUUAAUAGUCUACUGACUGUGGACAGUAAAACCCUUUAUUAUCUAGAACCCAG
Molecule: long non-coding RNA, 482 nt
Filed under: Homo sapiens (human)
Lineage: Eukaryota; Metazoa; Chordata; Mammalia; Primates; Hominidae
Description: non-protein coding lnc-ZNF723-5:1
Source: RNAcentral